GGAGGAGGAGAGUGGGGGUAAGACAGCCUGCAGGGAAAGCCAGCCCUCGUUGAUACUGGUUCCCAGCAGGAUCAGCCCCAAAAACACAGAGGCACAACCCUGGCCAUAAGCAGGGCAGCACGGAGCAAGGUGGACUCCCAUGUCCCUGACCCACAUCAGCUCCCACCACAAGGGCCACCUCAACUGGAGCAUCAGGGUCAGUGUGGCUACGAGGAGAAUGCCACAGGCUGAGAAGGGCCCCAGAGCACCCCAUGAACCCCAGAGAUGGGGACACCAGCACAGAUGUUGUCAGCUUUCCCUGGAUCCAGGGUGGUGCAGUGGUCUCAGGCUUCUCAGCAAGGGGAGGUCCCCAAAUCUACAGGAUGCUCUAGAGCCUAAAGAGGACUAAUGCUCUGUCACGAGGGGACAGCAACACAUCUUGCCAGCCUUGUGCAAACACACGGUGAAGCAGAUACACCCCAAGGAGGUGGCAGUGCCCCUCUGAACCUGGGGACACCAAGCCCAGCGACGUGUGGCCACACACCAGCUGCCCCCCCAGCACGAUGUGCAGCACCGAGCCUGGCUCCCCAGCAAGGUCACCAGCGUGCUCAUUUAUCCACUGACAUUUCAAUGGGGGAAAUUGCCUGUGAAGAUGAGGUGAAUACGUGGGGGAAUUGGUGGGAGAGGUGACAGCAGCAGGCUGACUGGAGCCAGCAGGGACAUCACCCACCCUGCCAGGACACUGAGCUACAAUGUGCCGGCUGUGGGGUGGCCAUGGCAAAACAGGGAUGGGGACAGCGGCUCCCAGCGAGCCUUGAUGUGUCUGUACAGCCCGUGCUGCUGGGCAGCUCUGGCAUUUCAGUGUCAUCACAGCAGGGACAUCAGUCAAGGGCUCAGCUGGGGACAGAGGAGCAGGGGCUGAACAGACAUUCCUCAUCUGCCAAGAACAGAGAAGGAAGUGGUUGUGGUUGUAACAUCACAGCCCUCAAACCAUCACCUGUGAUCUCCUAAUGCUGCAGAGGGACUGACUCAGCCCUGCUCCUGGGGGGGCACGGCCUCAGGCUCAUGGGUUCUCAUUUGCUGAUUCCCCACCAUAAUUCCAGCAUAGGACUUGCUGAGACACCCCAUUAGCUAAUCUAGACCUCUUCCAGCACAACUUAAAGCCAUUUCCUCUUCUUCUAUCUUGUAUUUGCAAGAAGAGACCCACCAUCUCACUUUGGGUGGUACAAACCCAUCUUUCAGACACAAAUACCCAGUAAUCUUGAGCUGACUUGUGCCCUCAGCCAGCCUUGUCCUGCCACUGCCUCCUCCUGGCAGCUGGGGAAGCCAGUGCUCCCCAACCCAUCCUCACCCCAUUUCAAAGAAGAUCCUCCAGGUCCAGACCAAAUAUCUUCAGAGCCUAGGCAGCUUUCGCUGGAGCCAAAGAUGCCAAAACCAGAGAGGGAUUUUAUUCUCAGCUUCUGUCCCACCUGGCUCUGCCUGUGGUGAGGCUGAUCCUGGAGCAGCAUCCAGGAGAGCUUGGCCAUUCUCAUUAAGGUGUGUGAGAAUGAAGCAGCCCCUGGCACAGAUUUGCUGCCAGGGAAAGGCUGGAUUCAGCAUCCACUGUGCCACAGUGAAAAAUCCUCUCUUUCCCUGGCACCAAUGGAGCCCCAAACAUCAUUUUCUAAUUCCCCCAGCACCAAGGUGAGCACAUGUAUGUGCUCAAGUGACCUGGCCAUGCAUCUCCCUUUCCUGAGGAUGAAAAUGAAGGGGAACCACCUUUUUUUUUUUGUAACAGAUAACCAGAGACUGAGAAGUACUCAAACCGUCACCCCACAACCUUUUGCUCUUGGAAUGGGGCCCCAAUCCAUUUCAUUUCCCUUUUCCCCCCUUCCAAACAAACGAAACAAUCCCCACAACCAAACAAAACCCCCAAACCCAAAACACAUGUUCCAUUUUCUAUAUAAUAAAACCGUGGUGCUCUUAAUAACUCCCUUAUUUGACAAUUUGUUUGGCAACAUAUGGAAAGCUCUCAUAAACUCCCCUUCAUAAUACAACGGCAGAUGGCAAACACAAUCCUCAACACGCCACUCUCUCCCUCCCUAAUGGGCUCAGAGGGCUCCUCACCCCACACCACAUCCCUCCAGCUCCACACCUUGCCUUCCCAGAGAUUACCCAGGCAGCUUCGAUGGCAGCUAUUUAAAAACUGAAGCAAUUUUCUGGUUUAUGCACAGAGCUGACUUUUCCCUUUUGAUUGAUUGAGCCGAGUUGUCAAGCAUUUCCAUGAAGUCGCUAAAAAAGAAAGGUACCCUGGUGGGCACGUAAAAACCUGAUGCAAAACUUCUAAUAUGUUUUAUUGUAA
Long non-coding RNA from Cyanistes caeruleus (blue tit), 2320 nucleotides. RefSeq lists it as uncharacterized. The record is from RefSeq and is a predicted model, not a curated record. Lineage: Eukaryota; Metazoa; Chordata; Aves; Passeriformes; Paridae.